Sparus aurata (gilthead seabream) is the source of this 3230-nucleotide long non-coding RNA. The record is from Ensembl. Lineage: Eukaryota; Metazoa; Chordata; Actinopteri; Spariformes; Sparidae.
AACAGUAAAUGUCUCAAUGCCAGGACUCUUUUAGCCCUGUAGUGUAUCCCUGGAAACACAAUACUCAGAGAAUACUCAGAGAAGACACACCCUGAGGUGCACCUUUACUACUAAACAGAAACGAUCAAACUCUUUCCUCCCCAAUGAAUGAAUUUGUGGUGUACAGGAGUUGUUUUGGAUGGUUGUAAAGCACAGAGGGCCUCUCGUGAUCUGACGUAAAAUCAACUAAUUUCCUCUUCAGGAGGACAACUUGAAGGUUCCCUCAAAGGUAAAGUGAAUCACUGCAAUGUUCAACCUGUUGGUGUAAGGGUUGACUUUAAGGGGCGUGCCACAUGUGUCAACUACUGAUCCUGUGUGAGAAACAGACUCUCACAGUAAACUCACCCAGCGGCCUGUCUGCCACCAACAAUAGCAUCAGUGUUGGUGAAGAGAAGAAAAUGCACAUCUAAUGCGUGUGGUGUGGUUUUGCUUUCAAGUUUGGAUUUGGCUCAGGGGAAGUUAUGUACCGGGAAAAUGAAGACAGAGUCAUGAGUGCUCCUGGCGUUCGUUCUGAUGGUUUUUCGUGUCGGCACAUGUUUGCCCCCCUUGUCAGAGGGACGAAGCCGGGCUCAUGUGUCAAACAUCUAUGCUGGUUGCUGGUCAUCCUACUGAUAGGUCAGGCUUCCUGUAAUCAGACCUCUGCUGCUCCUGCCACUAUUCCUGCUACAACAGACGCACAGACUUCAGUGUACUACUUUGUUGACAUCACUGUGGAUGUCAAAGGAGAGGAGAGGGAUGAAACCGAAAUCAAGGCCUGGCUUGUCCAGGUUUUCCAAAACAACCUGGAGAGCUGCGUGUCCCCGAACAAUGAAUCAACAACUGCCCCACCUACUUCCACACAUACAAAUGAGACGACACUCAUGACGACAGCAACAACAAUACAAAGCUUUAACACAACUACAGCUACAACAGUUUUGACAAGCAAUGACACAACUACAGCUACAAUAGUUUUAACAAGCAACAACACAACUCCAGCCUCAACAUCAAAUACGUUUAACAGCAACAACACAACUCCAGCCUCAACAUCAACAACGCUUACAAGCAACAACACAACUCCAGUCUCAACAUUAACAACGUUAAAAAGCAACAACACAUCUCCAGUCUCAACAUUAACAACGUUAAAAAGCAACAACACAUCUCCAGUCUCAACAUUAACAACGUUAAAAAGCAACAACACAACUCCAGUCUCAACAUCAACAACUUUUAACAGCAACAACACAACUCCAGCCUCAACACUAACAACGUUAAAAAGCAACAACACAACUCCAGUCUCAACAUCAACAACGUUUAACAGCAACAACACAACUCCAGCCUCAACACUAACAACGUUAAAAAGCAACAACACAAAUCCAGUUGCAAUAUCAACAACGUUACAAACCGUCAGCACAACUGCAGCUGCAACAACAACAACUUUACAGCCCAGCUCGACAACCUCUUUACUUGACCCCAGUGUGACCACACAGGCGCCUGGCGGCGGAGGAAACGUCAAACCAACGAAGAAGCCAAAUCCCAGUGGAAACAAGCAACGCAUAGCUCGUGAGAUUCACGGCAAUGUGACAGAAGCCAGUGGGAACAGUAAUGGCAUCACAACCGGCCUGUAUCAAGAUAUGGAAGUGAACUGCGCCAUGAAGACUGCAAUAAGAAACACCAACUGUACUGUGAUGCUGAAGCUGAGGCAGAGUGUGCCGCCAUGUUGUAUCCUCCGUACGCUCUGUGCAGCCAGUGUUACUUCCUCCGACAUCAGGGUGGUGGGAAGAAAAGCUGACAGAACCAGCCAACUAAAAACUGUGUGCAACAGCAAUCCACAAGAGGAGAAGACUUGCUCUUAUAAGGGUCCAACCGGUGGAUCAUGUGAAGUGUCUGGAUCUGCUUAUGUUGUUCAGCAAAGCAACUCAACACAUUGUGGUGCAGGUCAGGUGAACAACACCUGCAGCUGCUCUGCUUACUGCAAUGGAACUGAUGCAUACUACAGUUUUAAAAUGUAUAUAAACGAUCCAGAGAUGAACGAGUCAUACGUCUUAUUCCUUAUUUCGAAGAUACGACAAACAACAAACUGUUCUCUAAGUGCAGAUGGUUCAUGUCCAUUGAACAUCGUUGCAUCUGAAUACAAGAGAGCCAAUGUGACCUGUGGACUCAUUGAAACAAAUGUUCAAAGCUGCAGAGCAGUUUUACGCUUUGCCCGUCAGGUUCCUAUCUGUGCCGUGUCGAAGGCUUUGACGAAUGUGUUUCAGGCCGAAGAACAAAUCACUUACAGCGGACUAGUGACCCGAGCAGCAAUUUGUGAAAAUUCAGCAGCCAGCAACGAUCCACUAAACUCCCUGUUCACGUGGUUUAAAGUGAAUCUAACGCCUGCUGAACUUUGUCUGGCAAGCGACAAUUCUCACCUCCUGAACUGUCAAAAUGGAAAAGAUUUGGCCUUGCUGUUGAACGAGAGUUGUGUACACCGGCCGUCUACCACAUCCAGCCCAAGUGUCACCACAUUGCAACCAAACACCACCUUGUCGGUGAAUGUAACCUCACCCCCGCUGAACGCAACAACGGAAGCCAUGAAUACCACCACCGCCGCUAGCGCUAACGUCACAGUGACAAAUUCACUCAACAACACAACUUUAACCCCGCUAAACACAACUGAAGCCCUGAAUACCACCGCAACCACUGUAAGCUCCAACGCCACAUUGACAACAACACUCAACAACACAACUUUAACCCCGCUGAACACAACAACUGAAGCCCUGAAUACCACCGCAACCACUGUAAGCUCCAACGCCACAGCGACAACAACCCUCAACAACACAACUACAACCACCGCAAAUGAGUCUGUUUCUCUUGCCCCAUCAGAGAGCCCAACAACCACCCUAUCAGGUGUGUUAUCAGCAACAUUUGUGUGCAACAUUUAUGUUAUUUUUGCAUCAUUUCAGAGCAUCUCUUUUCAGUGUUGUUCUUUGUUGUUGACUCCAGCUGACAGCCAAGCCAACGCACUACUUGAUCUGACCAGAGACGUGUCCAACCUGAACUCCAGCCAGGUGGAGCAACUGGUGUCUCAGCUGGAGGAUCUUUUGUCGGGCCCGACCGUCAGCCUGGAGCUGGGAAACACCUCCGUCCGCAUUGUCAGCAAUCUGCUGGACGCUUCUCCUGAGGUGCUGGCCACCACCUCCAACAGGUUACUGAUGAAUUCAUCUGGCAUUCAAUGA